GACGAACGCUGGCGGCGUGCCUAAUACAUGCAAGUAGAACGCUGACGUGAGGAGCUUGCUCUUCCUGGUUGAUUUCCGAACGGGUGAGUAACGCGUAGGUAACCUGCCUUGUCGCGGGGGAUAAUUAUUGGAAACGAUAGCUAAUACCGCAUAACAAUGGAUGAUACAUGUCAUUUAUUUGAAAGGGGCAAUUGCUUCACUACAAGAUGUACCUGCGUUGUAUUAGCUAGUUGGUGUGGUAAUGGCUCACCUAGGCGACGAUACAUAGCCGACCAGAGAGGGGAAUCGGCCACGCUGGGACUGGGAGACGACCCAGACUCCUGCGAGAGGCAGCAGGAGGGGAUCCUCGGGGAAGGGAGCAACGGGGAACGUGCAACGCCGCGUGAGAGAAGAAGGUUGUCAGGUCGUAAAACUCAGUAGUAAGUCAAGAUCGGAAGGGAGAGUGGAAAGUGCACACAAUGACGGUAGCUUACCAAAAAGCGACGGCUAACUACGUG
This 497-nucleotide ribosomal RNA is filed under the name uncultured bacterium. RNAcentral describes it as "partial 16S ribosomal RNA". It matches the Rfam family "Bacterial small subunit ribosomal RNA", at positions 28 to 507 of the family's 1533-position model. The record is from RNAcentral.